GGUAGCAUAAUCACUUGUCCCCUAAAUAGGGACUAGCAUGAACGGCUAAAUGAGGAUUACACUGUCUCUUGUAGUUGACCAAUGAAACUGAUCUUGUAGUCCAAAAGCUACAAUAAAAACACCAGACGAGAAGACCCUGUGGAGCUUCAAACCAAAACCAAAUUAAUGGCCCCUUGGUUUUUAGUUGGGGUAACUUCGGAGUAUACACCAACCUCCGACAAAAUAGCUAAGACAAACAAGUCUAAACAAUUUACUCGACCCAAUAGUUUACAACAAACUACUUGACCAAUGAACCAAGUUACCCCAGGGAUAACAGCGCUAUCCCCUUUUAGAGUCCCUAUCGACAAGGGGGCUUACGACCUCGAUGUUGGAUCAGGACACCCCAAUAAUGCAGCCGUUACUAAAGGUUCGUUUGUUCAACGAUUAAAGUCCU
Molecule: ribosomal RNA, 433 nt
Filed under: Mesalina guttulata
Lineage: Eukaryota; Metazoa; Chordata; Lepidosauria; Squamata; Lacertidae
Description: partial 16S ribosomal RNA
Rfam family: Bacterial large subunit ribosomal RNA
Source: RNAcentral